RNAcentral lists this long non-coding RNA (547 nucleotides) under Monodelphis domestica (gray short-tailed opossum). Its description in RNAcentral is "lncRNA (ENSMODG00000036835.1)". The record is from RNAcentral. Lineage: Eukaryota; Metazoa; Chordata; Mammalia; Didelphimorphia; Didelphidae.
AUCAUAGCCUAAGGAAAAAUCACCCCCGUUUUUUACCAGCUGGUUUUUGAUCCUGAAGAAAUUGAAUCUGCUACCAGCAUCCUGGGUCCUGGGGCUGGGCCUGGGGUGAUGAACCAUCUGGGUCAGAGACCAGAGUUGCUGCGGCUAGGAUCAGCUGGGCCAGACUUGAGUUCUGUGAGGGUAAAAGCUAUACCUUCCUACUUCUUUUGAAUUCCUUCACAGAAUGAGUCUUCCAAACACCCAGCUAGCUCUGGAAAUGUGUACAUCAACCUCAUUAGAUAUGUGGACAUCCCUGGAAAGUAUAUGCCAAGAUUCCCUUAUGAAAGAAAACAUGAUUCUAAGAAGAAACAAACCAGUGGACUUAUAGAUGCAGAGCUGAAGCUCAUGAAACCACAAUUCAAAAAAGGCUACAAUAUGAUCUAUGACAAUUAUUUUACAUCCCAUGAUUUUUAUUAAUAUUUUCAAAACAAAGCUACAGUAUAGUUGGAACUAUUCACCAUAAAUAUAGGGAACUUACAGAAAUAAAAAAGACAUGAAAGCUAUAGCA